This 386-nucleotide ribosomal RNA is filed under the name Bacillus subtilis. Its description in RNAcentral is "bacterial SSU rRNA". It matches the Rfam family "Bacterial small subunit ribosomal RNA", at positions 532 to 916 of the family's 1533-position model. Lineage: Bacteria; Bacillati; Bacillota; Bacilli; Caryophanales; Bacillaceae. The record is from RNAcentral.
UGGCAAGCGUUGUCCGGAAUUAUUGGGGCGUAAGGGCUCGCAGGCGGUUUCUUAAGUCUGAUGUGAAAGCCCCCGGCUCAACCGGGGAGGGUCAUUGGAAACUGGGGAACUUGAGUGCAGAAGAGGAGAGUGGAAUUCCACGUGUAGCGGUGAAAUGCGUAGAGAUGUGGAGGAACACCAGUGGCGAAGGCGACUCUCUGGUCUGUAACUGACGCUGAGGAGCGAAAGCGUGGGGAGCGAACAGGAUUAGAUACCCUGGUAGUCCACGCCGUAAACGAUGAGUGCUAAGUGUUAGGGGGUUUUCGCCCCUUAGUGCUGCAGCUAACGCAUUAAGCACUCCGCCUGGGGAGUACGGUCGCAAGACUGAAACUCAAAGGAAUUGACGG